Molecule: long non-coding RNA, 3181 nt
Organism: Scophthalmus maximus (turbot)
Lineage: Eukaryota; Metazoa; Chordata; Actinopteri; Pleuronectiformes; Scophthalmidae
Exons: 2
Source: RefSeq, a predicted model, not a curated record
UACAUCAUUUUAAUGUUUACAUAUGUACACAUGUAUAUGUUAUACCUUUUAUUUUUGGGGGGGGGCAAGUUUUAGAGCUCAGUCCGCUUCGAUGUGUGCAGAGACAUUGUGACACUUUUCUAAAAUGAAGCAUUAGACACACGUCCUGUAGGGUUCAACUUGAAAAAAACCUUGUAAGCAUGUACAAAGGCAUGAGUCCUCCUGCAGCGGCCGCAGGUUCCAUUCCGACCCCAUCCCUUUGCUGCAUGUCUUCCACAUUCUGUCUCCCUUUCACGCUAACAGCUCUCCUGUACCAAUAAAGGCUGGUUCCAUAAAUUUAAGCCACUGGCUUAUCAUUUAGUUCGGGCAAAUCUCACUCGCCAAUGUUACAAAGAGUGCGGAGUGGUAAUGAAAGAGGCCCUAUUCUCAUUAUUACAAGUCAGUAUCCCAUCAGAAGGACUUUGAAGAGCAGUUGCAUAAUGUUGCUUCAAUCCCUGCGGUGGUCGACCUCCCGCACCGCGUUGUCGAGUGGUUGCGCUCUCCGCCAGCACCUCCAACUCCUUUCUGUGCUCAUAAGUUAACACUCUUGUGAUUGAAUAUAUCUGCAGUGCUAUCACAUUGUGUUUCAUGCCCUACUUAUGUACAACUACUGAGCUUUGGGUUCAUGAAAAGCACUUUAAAAAUUAAAUAUAUUAUUAUUAUUUAUUAUUAUGAGCUCCAAUGGUUGCUCGUGUACAAGCCUUUUGAAGUACAUGAUCAGUGAGUGCCUGACUGAACGUGCUCUGCACUUUUUUGUUAUAUCGUAGUUCAAAAUCAGUGCUGGAUCACCCAAAAAGAUCAUUUGCAGAUGUUCCUCACUGAUUCAUACCGACUGUAAUAGAAAUGGGGAAGAUGAUGAUGGAAAAGUGGAACCUAUUUGCAGCAGGUGCACAGGUCCAAACAGCCUCUAAACCACGAAGUGUGUUCCACAGGACAUUUGCUGUUUUUCACUCAACCAGGCUUAUUAGACAGUUUCUUGUCCUCGUCUCUCUUGAUUUUCUUUGUAAUAAUUACAGCAAAGCAAAUUGUGAAAGGGGCACUCCACCCAAUUCAUACAUUAAGUCUAUUGUAUACAACAUGAGACAUCCUAUUCAGCCUGUGAUGUACAGUAUACUUUCUAAGCUCUGCUCUGGAGGAGAUCUCUGAUGUUCAAAUUAUUCAAAUCAUCCCUUAAGGAUUCAUCAAGUUGCUUUGUUUUUUUUUAAGUUCUUUGUCUUUUUUUAAAUACAUCACAAACUGGAGGAAGUUUGCCCAAAAGUGGCCAUUUAUUUGUCCGGCUGAAGGACUGCUUUGCGGCAUGUGAAAGGAUCCUGUGUUUUUUGUGAAUCUUGACCCACACAAGCCUAAAUCGGAGGAUAUCUCUGUCUCUGCUGCUUCAAUUUUCACCAUUGCUUUUGGUGUCAAUCUUCAGUGCUGCCGUCCACACUGGCCUGUGCUGAAUAAACACAAUGGCUUGUGCUUCACUUACACUUAGAUGUGUAAUUGCAUGUGUCUCACUAGCCUUCCAAGACUGCCCUGACCAUGAUUUUGUAUUAAGACGUGAGCUCUGUCACAAGGCCUCUGAGUGCCCGGCUGAACAAUUGCAGCGUGGACAUUGAUUGCUGCCGUUGUGCUGCUUUUGUUGGUCAGCCUUUACAAAGAAGGUGACAGGAAUCCCGAAGACACAGACGCACUCUCACAGCCCCAGAGGAGCUGUGACUAACGUCGCUAACAAAACGAUAGAAAAUAACAGUGCUGGUUAUUUUAUCUUGGUUUAAACAAGCCAGUUUCCUCUUUAUCUUUUCAAAAAGACCUGAAGAAAGAAAGCCGCUGUAAGAAAAUACAACAUCAGCGAUGAAAGCUUGUGGCAUUGUAUUUGUAAACAGUUCAUAACAGUCCCUUAAUCUUAAAUAUUUCUGAAGUGCUUCCUAUGGGAACCUGAGAUGCCUCCACUUUAAGGGUGAUGAAUGUGGUUUUUUUAAAUAAUGAAAAACAACAGUUUCAGACAGAAGAGCCUAUUAGUGUCUCAAGUUGGAAUGUUUCCCUGGAAACUGCCGGGUCCUCUUACAACUACUAAAACCUGACUGUUUCCCCAAGCGGCUCCACUUCACUGCCUCCUCUCAUUUCACCUCCUCUGUUUUCUUCCCCUCUAUGCAUCCCCCUCUCCUUCUUCAGCCUCGCAGCCUAUUUUCCUUUCUUUCCAUCAUUCUAUGCUCAACUCGUCUGUUCGCAACUUCAACUGCAGCUGCUGUGUCUCAGUUCGCGUACUUCCAUAUACUCACACUUGCUAUCUCUGAGUGGCCAAGUGUGUUCACACUGAGUACGGCAACACUUAAGUGUGAAAAAUUGGACAAUUCUCACCCCCAACAGUUGACAUUAUUACUACGGAGCGGAAGAACAGGGAUCACCAAUGUAUUUUCGAACUAAUUUUCCCGGAGUUGUGAGUGGUGUAUUUUCUGUUUGUGAAACAGGGGACGCACACAAGAAAGUAAAACGUUCACAGUCAAAAUUGUACAAGAAUUAUUGUGGUGUUAGACGAUAUUUUCUGGUAUGGUAAUGUUUGGUUUUGGUUUUUGGAAUGUUAAAGUUGUGUUUUGUGUAUGGUUUUAUUUGCAGUUUUGAAAAAACGUUUCAAAAGUUUUUCACUCAAAUAAUUCAACAUCUAAUAACACAGCGCAGCACUUAUGUCCAGGAGCGAUUUCUCAGCAUCAACUCCUCUGCAUGUGUGCUGGUAUGGGCUAAACUGCUGCUUGAAAAUCAUCCACUGGGAGAAAUUUGAAAAUAGCGUGUGAGACAAUAAAAAGGUCAGAUGUUUAAUGGUAGUUUGAUCGACCAGCUUCUUCUGUCCACAUGUCAAAGUGUCUUUUAUUAGUCGCGCUGGUCAAAAGUCUGUCAAAUUAAAAUAAUGAAGUUAAUAAAUUUGUUGGGUAAGAUGUACAUCAAUACGACUUUUUAGUGGUGGUUCGUAUAUUUUGCCCGACUUUAAACGUUGACCAUUUUCUGGCCAUUGAAUGACUCUUUGUGAGCAAAUAUUUACCAUAUGUAUGUUUUAUUAUUAUUUCUACAUUGACGAUCCCACUCUUUUGUCUUUGUGCUCAUCCUGAACCCUUUGGGGCGAUUAUACCCACUGCUUUUUGCGGAAACGCCAUGCCUGCCAAAACAAAAAAUAAAUAUUAAUAUCAAA